Long non-coding RNA from Xenopus laevis (African clawed frog), 813 nucleotides. RefSeq lists it as uncharacterized. NCBI's taxonomy places the organism in Eukaryota, Metazoa, Chordata, Amphibia, Anura, Pipidae. The transcript is spliced from 3 exons. The record is from RefSeq and is a predicted model, not a curated record.
UUUCUCUGCUGCUGAUCUGGGCUGCCUCCCUUCCUAACAGAUCAAAGGAAUUAAAUUUGGGACAACCACCCCCCCUAGUACUGCUGGAAUGGAAGAGGCCAAUUAGUGCGGGAAACCACCUGAAACUAUAAAUACGUGGAGAGCAAGGCCCGCCUGCCGCAGUCUGGAGAGGAGUCCGGGAGGAGGAGGAGGAGUUGUGCAGGGUGCAGCUGCAUGCCUGCCUGCAUGCGUAUUCGCGUUGGACGUUGGUGCGUCACAGACUCACACAGUCACUGCUGGACUCUGAGUUCCAUAUUACCUACUGUAGCCUAGCCUGGACAAUUGCCUCUGCAUGAAUUACUCAGUGUGGCCCUGCAUACACCACCUGCUAAUCUUCACUAAUUGCCUCUUCUACCUUACGGAUACUGGAAAUUUGGUACAUCUCUUCUACCUUACUGAUACUGGAAAUUUGGUACAUCUCUUCUACCUUACUGAUACUGGAAAUUUGGUACAUCUCUUCUACCUUACUGAUACUGGAAAUUUGGUACAUCUCUUCUACCUUACUGAUACUGGAAAUUUGGUACAUCACAGACAGCGCUGCCCAUAUAGGAAACCUACUGUAGCCUGGAUGGUUGCCUUGCUUUUGCUGGAAUAACUCAGUGUGGCCCUGCAUACACCGCCUGCUAAUCUUCACUGUAAGUAACACCACAAACUGUUAUUGUAUUGUUCCUACUGAUGCCUCUGCACCUCAGAUGUUUACGUCUUUUCGACAAACCACAAAAUUGGCCAUACCUGACCAAGUAUAUUAGUAAAAGUAAUUGUUAACAGAGUAGA